AGCGAACGCUGGCGGCAGGCCUAAUACAUGCAAGUCGAGCGCCCCUUCGGGGGAGCGGCGGACGGGUGAGUAACGCGUGGGAACGUGCCCUUUGGUACGGAACAACUGAGGGAAACUUCAGCUAAUACCGUAUGUGCCCUUCGGGGGAAAGGAUUUAUCGCCAUUGGAGCGGCCCGCGUUGGAUUAGGUAGUUGGUGAGGUAAAGGCUCACCAAGCCUACGAUCCAUAGCUGGUCUGAGAGGAUGAUCAGCCACACUGGGACUGAGACACGGCCCAGACUCCUACGGGAGGCAGCAGUAGGGAAUCUUGCGCAAUGGGCGAAAGCCUGACGCAGCCAUGCCGCGUGAAUGAUGAAGGUCUUAGAUUGUAAAUUCUUUCACGGGAAGAUAAUGACGGUACCCGGAGAAGAAGCCCCGGCUAACUUCGUGCCAGCAGCCGCAGU
This 442-nucleotide ribosomal RNA is filed under the name uncultured bacterium. RNAcentral describes it as "bacterial SSU rRNA". It matches the Rfam family "Bacterial small subunit ribosomal RNA", at positions 29 to 521 of the family's 1533-position model. The record is from RNAcentral.